Molecule: long non-coding RNA, 1540 nt
Organism: Triticum dicoccoides
Lineage: Eukaryota; Viridiplantae; Streptophyta; Magnoliopsida; Poales; Poaceae
Exons: 8
Source: RefSeq, a predicted model, not a curated record
CGAGGAGAGAGGCGCCGGCCAUCGAGGACCUCCUAGCCCUCUUCUCCUUGUCGCCAUGGCAGGUGGAGCUCGAGCCAUCGGUCAGCCUCCCCCUCCCCAUGCGUAGAACAAUGUGUGCAGAUCUGUAAAAGAAGAGAAGAGGAAGAAUCCCAAGGAAGAGUUUGGUGAAGAAGAAUAAGGUGACUAUGUGAGUUGCAUUGACAGAAUCCAUGUAUUAAGCUGGGGCAUUUUUGGCAGCUGCAGCAACCUGACAAUUCAUUUGUUCUCAUACAAGAUGCUUGUGAAGUACAUGGGGAAGGCGCGCAUGGUUGAUGAUUAUGUUUUGGAUUGGAGGCCGAAGCAAACUCCGUCAGGUUUCAGAUAAUUACUUCAGGUUAGGCGGGAGAAAUAAAAAGGGUAACCAUAGAUAUAUGGUGUAGCAUCAUGAGGUUCAGGUUCCUGCUGUUGAUCAAACGUUGCUUCGGUCGAGUGCGAACCCGGAUCAGUUGCUGCUCCAAACCAGACAAUUUGGAGGAUGAACGCGAGUCUCCCAGCGAUGCCAUGGAAGAAGAAAGUAUUCGCUCCAGACGUAGAUGUCUAGCUUGCCUGUGUGCUGUAACAUUAAUCAGUGCAUCGGGCCCAAAGUUUUCUAUCAUUGGAACCUUGAUGAUUUAUCUCAUUUGAACAUAAUCUAACCCCUCUGAUUUUUUCAGUACAUAAUUGUACACCUUCUAUGCCCCGCUUAAUUGUGUGUUCAUUUUGUUAAUCAAGAAGCAUCUGAUUUUAUGGCUGGGUAUGUUGAAAAUAUAUAAAACCUUUCUUCUUUUGGAUAAUUUGUUUCCCUUUGACCAAUCUUUGUUACUUGCCUACACAUCUGUGCAUAGCGUGGUGCUCCAGCGCGACCGCUUCGUGUGCUGCUCGAGUCGCAUGGCCACCAUGCCCGCGCCGAGGCGAAGGCCGCUGCCACUCUCAACGCCCUCUGCUGCGCGCUCUCGCCGGCGGCGUUUGCAAAGCCUUGUCGUGGCGCUGCAAGUGUUGCCCCCCUCCUCCCCAAGGGCAAGGUGAAGGAAGGUGCAUGUGUGGUUCUUCAGCAGCUCGCAGCGAGGAUUGCUGUGUCCAACCUGCAGAAGUAUGCCAAGAAGUUCUCGGAGAUGAUUAAGGACAUGUCCCCGCACUACAACGAGAGAUCUGAGCUGUUUGGAAGUUAGUUUAGGUUUUUGUUGUGGAUUCACAGCUUCUCACAUGUAUGAUCCUCUUAGACCUUUAGAUUUCCAAAGAAACUAAAUGAAGAUAUGGUGGUAUGGUCUCAAUAGUACAACUUAAAGCCUUUCAUGUUUUAUAUUUUCUUUGAAAUUUGCUCUUGAAGAAUUAUGUAUCUAUGUUAGAUCCGGUGAGAAAAGGCGGCUUUCAAGUAGAGGUUGCUGCAGUGUUGGCCACAUUUGGUUUUCGACUUAAGUGUCUAAAUAUUCUCACAAUACUUGGCUCCCUUUCGGCCUUUGCGCCAUUGGCGCAACGAGUCAUCUAGUGUGAUUGAAUGGUUAAAGGAACUGUGAUAUUCUCA